CGGGGCAACCUGGCGGCGAGUGGCGAACGGGUGAGUAAUAUAUCGGAACGUACCCAGAAGUGGGGGAUAACGUAGCGAAAGUUACGCUAAUACCGCAUACGAUCUACGGAUGAAAGUGGGGGACCUUCGGGCCUCAUGCUUGUGGAGCGGCCGAUAUCUGAUUAGCUAGUUGGUGAGGUAAAGGCUCACCAAGGCGACGAUCAGUAGCUGGUCUGAGAGGACGACCAGCCACACUGGGACUGAGACACGGCCCAGACUCCUACGGGAGGCAGCAGUGGGGAAUUUUGGACAAUGGGCGCAAGCCUGAUCCAGCAAUGCCGCGUGAGUGAAGAAGGCCUUCGGGUUGUAAAGCUCUUUUGUCAGGGAAGAAACGGCUCAGGCUAAUAUCUUGGGCUAAUGACGGUACCUGAAGAAUAAGCACCGGCUAACUACGUGCCAGCAGCCGCGGUAAUACGUAGGGUGCAAGCGUUAAUCGGAAUUACUGGGCGUAAAGCGUGCGCAGGCGGUUUUGUAAGUCUGACGUGAAAUCCCCGGGCUCAACCUGGGAAUUGCGUUGGAGACUGCAAGGCUGGAGUCUGGCAGAGGGGGGUAGAAUUCCACGUGUAGCAGUGAAAUGCGUAGAGAUGUGGAGGAACACCGAUGGCGAAGGCAGCCCCCUGGGUCAAGACUGACGCUCAUGCACGAAAGCGUGGGAGCAAACAGGAUUAGAUACCCUGGUAGUCCACGCCCUAAACGAUGUCUACUAGUUGUCG
This 752-nucleotide ribosomal RNA is filed under the name Massilia sp. RNAcentral's name for it is "bacterial SSU rRNA". It matches the Rfam family "Bacterial small subunit ribosomal RNA", at positions 75 to 825 of the family's 1533-position model. The record is from RNAcentral. Lineage: Bacteria; Pseudomonadati; Pseudomonadota; Betaproteobacteria; Burkholderiales; Oxalobacteraceae.